Gigantopelta aegis is the source of this 2808-nucleotide RNA transcript. RefSeq lists it as uncharacterized. NCBI's taxonomy places the organism in Eukaryota, Metazoa, Mollusca, Gastropoda, Neomphalida, Peltospiridae. The record is from RefSeq and is a predicted model, not a curated record. The transcript is spliced from 3 exons.
UACCGUCACACGUUUUCGAUCGACACGCGUUUCUGAUCGCUCAUUUGUAAUUGCAAUAGUGCGAGAAUGCGCGAGCAUUGACGUCACCACAAGAACGAAAACGAACACGGAAGUCACUGCUUUUGUUCCGAGAGAAAAAUGCUGCGUGUCAAGUUUCCAAUGGCCGUGAUCAACCGACCAAAUGUAAAUUACAGACAAUACAAUCACCAGUCUUUAGAAAAUGCAUAUGAGGCGGUUAAAACUCAGGGAAUGCCGAUUAAAAAAGCAGCUAGGAUUUGUUCAGUGCCAUACUCCACCUUGCACGACCGUCUAAGUGGAAAAACGGACAUCGAUUGUGUUAAGUCAGGACCAGACCCUUUGUUGUCUCAAGAAGAGGAGCAAACUUUAGUGACACAUGUUGAGUUUAUGUCAUCUGUGGGCUUUGGGUAUACCCGCACUGAAGUACUUAAUAUUGCCACAGACCUUGCUGUUCAUCUUGGCAAAAGAGAAAAGGGUGAAAAACCAUUUUCCCUGCGAUGGUUUUAUGGGUUUAUGAAGCGAUGGCCCGAGCUUAGAGUUCAAAAACCACGAUCACUUGAAAUCAUGCGUGCCAAAGCAACAUCAAAAGAUACCAUCAACAAAUACUUUGAUAGCCUGGAACAGAUUUUAGACAAGUAUGAUUUACGAAACAGUCCAGAGUCCAUCUACAACAUUGAUGAAAAAGGCAUCGUAGAAAAUCACAAACCCCCAUCUAUUGUUGCAUCACGUUCCAAUGUCCCAGUUGCUGUAACAACGAGCAGGUCCAACACUACUACGGUUAUUGGGUGUGGAAAUGCCCUUGGUGUUGCCAUACCACCGUAUUUUGUUUUCAAGGGAAAGCGCAUGCGGGAGGAAUUGUUAGCAGGUUGUACGGCAGGCACUGCAGGAACCGUUAGUGAAACGGGUUGGUCGAAUACUGGUAUUUUUCAAAAGUAUCUUAAAGAACAUUUUUCAAAGUAUGUUCCAGCAGCAUCUUCUGACAAGCCUGUCUUAAUUCUUUAUGAUGGUCACACGUCACACAUAAAUGUUUCCCUGAUCCAGUGGGCACGAGAGAGGCACAUAAUAUUAUUUGUAUUACCUGCUCACACAUCGCAUGUUCUUCAGCCAAUGGAUGUGGGAUGUUUCGGCCCGUUCGAACGCAUUUACAAUGGCAUGAGACAUACCUACAUACGCGAACAUGCAACAUCGGGUAUUGACAGACAUUCCCUUUGUGAGACUGUCUGCAAAGCUUACUGUGCAGCACUCACACCCGCCAACCUGCAGUCAUCGUUCAGAAAGACCGGGAUUUAUCCAUUUCAUAGAGACGUUAUACAGCCUUCAACAUUCCUGCCUUCAGCUGUUUUAAGCAACAACAUGGAGUCAGAAAAUGAAUCACAAACCAGGGCAACUGUCAACUGUGAAGACAAUUCAUCAAAAUGCAAGACGUUUUUCACAACUGCAGAAGAAGUGAUCACAAGAAAACCAAAACCUACUAAGAAGAGGAAAGUACUCAGUGCUGUGGUCAGUGGUAAAGCCAUCACGGAAGAUUUGGUUUUGGAAGAUAUCAGGGAACAUCAAAAGAACAAACAAAACAAGGAAGGAUUGCAGAAAAGAAAAUGUACAAAAUCAAAGAAAACUGAAGAUUCACCAAAACCAAGUACGUCAGGAAUUCUUUUCCCACCCAGUGCUAACACAAAACAGCAGCUUGAAGAUGAAGACGAUACAUCGGAGGAAUCUGACGACCCUAGCGAUCUUUGCUGCAAGUGCAAGAAGAGCCAACCAGACGAAUACAAACACUGUGUUUCACUUUGCUUCGUUUCGUGGGCACAGUGCACCUAUCCGGCAUGUCAGCAUUGGGUACAUUUAAAAUUAUGCACUCCAGUUAGGGUUGUACGGAGACAUUCCGAAUUUUGGUGUCCUUGCCAUAAUGAAAUGGAAGAGUAAUAAUCACUGGAGUAAAAAGAAACUGAAAAAAAUUAUGUAAAAUAUGUUAAACGUUUAGCCUAAAUUUUUCUUUAUUCUGAAAGUUAAGUAACAUUGAUUGAAAGUUACAAACAUUUUUAAAUCAGUUAUAUAACGUGGAAUUAAGUGUAAAAUAUGACAUCAAUAGUGCUCCAUACAACGCAACAGCGACCGAGAAAAUAGCCGACCAACGAAACGAUCGAAAACAUGUGACGUUAUUAAAAUACAGAGGAAAUUCCUUUACGACAAAGCAAGACGUUUUCUCCAAGGAUAUUAUGGAAUUCAUUGCGGAUUACUGGUGUUUUAUGUGGUAAAGUAUUGUGGCAACAGUUGACUUGACUGGAAGUAGCACGGCCACCUUCUGACACUAUGGAUUGAGGGUCACCUUCUGACACUGUGGAUUGAGGGUCACCUUCUGACACUAUGGAUUGAGGGUAACCUUCUGACAUUAUGGAUUGAGGGUAACUUUUGACACUGUGGAUUGAGGGUCACCUUCUGACACUGUGGAUUGAGGGACAUCUUCUCACACUAUGGAUUGAGGGUAACUUUUGACAUUAUGGAUUGAGGGUCAACUUCUGACACUGUGGAUUGAGGGUCAACUUCUGACACUGUGGAUUGAGGGUCAACUUCUGACACUGGAUUGAGGGUAACUUCUGACACUGGAUUGAGGGUCACUUCUGGCACUAUGGAUUCAGGGUCACCUUCUGACACUGUGGAUUGAGGGUAACUUCUGACACUACGGAUUGAGGGUCAGCUUCUGACACUAUGGAUUGAGGGUCACCUUCUGACACUGUAGAUUGAGGGUCAACUUCUGACACUGGAUUGAGGGUCACCUUCUGACACUAUGGA